RNAcentral lists this long non-coding RNA (2039 nucleotides) under Capsicum annuum. RNAcentral describes it as "long non-coding RNA (CANN_LNC009093)". Lineage: Eukaryota; Viridiplantae; Streptophyta; Magnoliopsida; Solanales; Solanaceae. The record is from RNAcentral.
UGAGCCACGUAUAUGCCACGUAGGCCUUAAGGUUGACAAAAAUACGGUUUUAAUUAGUCCAGGGAUAAUAGGACCCCCUUUAAGUUGGAGUGUGUCUGAGCAAUCUCGUUUAUAAUUCAAGACGGAAAUAGUGCAUUUUCUCUAAAAUUUAUUGUGAACGCGUAGAAGUUAAUAGCAGAUAGAUUAAGGUGUAAUCACUGUGGUUAAAUAAAAGGUAUAAAUGCUAAGUAAAAACAUGGACACCAAAGUCAAAAUUUGCCUAUUCACCUUUCAUAUAUACUCCCAUGUUGAGUGGCUUCUUUCAUUCUUCAAUUGUUUAAGCAAUUUAUAUGUGUAUCCAUAUUUCAAAAUUCUCUUCUUUUUCCAACUUUCAUCUACUUUAAUUACUAUAUUUCUCCAAGAUAACUUCCCUUCUCAAUUCUUUCACUCUUCUUUGCCUUGUCUUUCUUUCUCUCAGCCAUAUUAUUGGGGGUGGAUUUUUUUUUAAUUGAAUUAGUAUUGCAUGGCAACAUUGAGAAAAUCUAAACACUUCACUUUUAAUUACUCAAAGUCUUUCAUUUUCUUCUUGACCUUAUUCUUCCUCUUCCUUGUUGUUCUAUCUGAUGAUAAGUCAGACCAUUCCUCUUCAUCUACUACUGCUACCAUCAACUUGAUGAACUCAAAAAAGAUCCAUAGAAAUUCUCGUACGUCGCCUUCUUCUUCUCGUGAUACUCGUAGACAGUUUGAAGCUAGUGAGCAUGCAGUUCCUAGCGGGCCAAAUCCAUCAUCAAAUUAAAUCUGUAAGUUGGUUUGUUCGCGGUGUUUUCAGGAUCUAGAGUCACCAGCUUCAGAAUGAAUGUAAUAUUAUUGUAAUAUGUAUAUGUAACUACAUUUUUGCAUACAUAGUUAAAAGUCGAAAACAAUAAGUUCAGUUGAACGCGCACAUAUCGUAGAUCUGUCUUAGCUAAACGAAGCCAUUAUUUAUUGUUGUUUGAUCACCAAUUCUGGAAGCCAUUAGUGCUACUUUGUGUCUACGAUCUUCACUGAUGAGAAGUUUUUCACUAUAUUUGCUUUGUUAAUUGUUAUUGUCACUAUUGUUAGCUAAGCCUUUUCAACUUAUAACUCUCUUUUGGGACUUGAAUAUCAAGAUAAAUUUUUAUUAUUCAUGUAAAUAUGGAUGUAUCUACUUUGAGCUGGGAGUUUAUCAGAAACAAAGUACUGAUAACUGAUAAAGCUGUUGUUCCCGGAUCCCACUUACUCCCACCGUAUAAAAAAAAAAUGAUCUAGUUUGACUUGAUACGGAGUUUAAGAAAAUAAAGAAGACUUUUGAAUCUUGUGGUGUUAAAUUAAAGAUAUGUCAAAUAUACCAAAAUGCCCUUCAAUUUUGUGGUCUUAAACAUGCCACAUGGAAAGUUAAAAUUUAAAAGUUGCUGAAAAGGAAAAGGAGUCAUUCUUUUUUAAACGGACUAAAAAGAAAAAUAGUGAUUUCUUUUGAAACGGUGGGAGUAUAAGAUUAGGUUGGUAUGUUGUUGUCUUUGUAAAUAUGCAUGUAUCAAUCUUUAUUGAAGUUGUGGUUCCUUUUAAUUAAUAUUUCUCCAUCAAUUUAUCAUUUUGUUAUAAUUAAUGAAUACAUUUGUUGUAAAUAUUGUGGGGAAAGUACUUGUUAGAGGUGAUUAGUGCAUAGCUUGAAUCGUGGGUGAAUAUAGGAGAAGAAGAGGAUUGUACACUUUUGUUUUUGAGUGAAAUAUGAUUUGAGUUGCUUUGGACUUUUCUUUUUUGUCUUCUUUAAUGCACAAAUCCCAAGAAAGUUGAUCCACCAAAAAGCUAUCAUGAGCCUAUAAUUUGAUAAUCAUCUAACUUUAUUGGUUUUCCUAUUCUAAAUUCCAAUCAUAUUGUACAGCAUUCCAAUAAUUUUGCAUUUUAAGCAUAGUUCGGAUUGCGGUGAGAUGAAAAAGAUUUCGAGUUUGGGUUUGAGUUUGAAUUGAAAAGAGAGAAGAUCUGAUAUGAAAUGUUUUAAUGGAUUAUUAUGCAAUUAUAUAUAAUAUCAGCAACAUUAUAUU